UACGAAGGGGGCUAGCGUUGCUCGGAAUUACUGGGCGUAAAGGGCGCGUAGGCGGACAGUUUAGUCAGAGGUGAAAGCCCAGGGCUCAACCCUGGAAUUGCCUUUGAUACUGGCUGUCUUGAGUACGGGAGAGGUGUGAGGAACUCCGAGUGUAGAGGUGAAAUUCGUAGAUAUUCGGAAGAACACCAGUGGCGAAGGCGGCUCUCUGGGACGGUACUGACGCUGAGACGCGAAAGCGUGGGGAGCGAACAGG
This 253-nucleotide ribosomal RNA is filed under the name uncultured bacterium. RNAcentral describes it as "partial 16S ribosomal RNA". It matches the Rfam family "Bacterial small subunit ribosomal RNA", at positions 524 to 776 of the family's 1533-position model. The record is from RNAcentral.